UAACGGCGAGUGAAGCGGCAACAGCUCAAAUUUGAAAUCUGGCCCUCGGGUCCGAGUUGUAAUUUGUAGAGGAUGUUUCUGGCGACGUGUCUUCCGAGUUCCCUGGAACGGGACGCCAUAGAGGGUGAGAGCCCCGUCCGGUCGUACGCCUAGCCUCUGUGAAACUCCUUCGACGAGUCGAGUAGUUUGGGAAUGCUGCUCAAAAUGGGAGGUAUACGUCUUCUAAAGCUAAAUACCGGCCAGAGACCGAUAGCGCACAAGUAGAGUGAUCGAAAGAUGAAAAGCACUUUGAAAAGAGGGUUAAAUAGUACGUGAAAUUGCUGAAAGGGAAGCGCUCAUGACCAGACUUGGGCUCGGUGAAUCAUCCGGCGUUCUCGCCGGUGCACUUUGCCGGCCCAGGCCAGCAUCAGCUCGCCCCGGGGGAUAAAGGUUUCGGGAAUGUAGCUCCCUCGUGGAGUGUUAUAGACCGUUGCGUAAUACCCUGUGGCGGGCUGAGGUACGCGUUCUGCAAGGAUGCUGGCGUAAUGGUCAUCAGUGACCCGUCUUGAAACACGGACCCAAGGAGUCGUCUUCGUAUGCGAGUGUUCGGGUGUCAAACCCCUACGCGUAAUGAAAGUGAACGUAGGAGAGAGCUUCGGCGCAUCUCCGACCGAUCCUGAUGUUCUCGGAUGGAUUUGAGUAAGAGCAUACGGGGCCGGACCCGAAAGAAGGUGAACUAUGCCUGUAUAGGGUGAAGCCAGAGGAAACUCUGGUGGAGGCUCGCAGCGGUUCUGACGUGCAAAAUCGAUCGUCAAAUAUGGGCAUGGGGGCGAAAGACUAAUCGAACCU
RNAcentral lists this ribosomal RNA (828 nucleotides) under Acremonium alternatum. RNAcentral's name for it is "eukaryotic LSU rRNA". It matches the Rfam family "Eukaryotic large subunit ribosomal RNA", at positions 84 to 942 of the family's 3401-position model. The record is from RNAcentral. Lineage: Eukaryota; Fungi; Ascomycota; Sordariomycetes; Hypocreales; Bionectriaceae.